UUUUAGUCGAAGUCAGUGAUCCCAUGCUGCCAAGAAAAGCCUCUAGCGAGCUUCGAGCGGCCCGUACCCCAAACCGACACAGGUGGUCAGGUAGAGAAUACCUAGGCGAUCGGGCGAACUGUGGUUAGGGAACUCGGCAAAUUACCCCCGUAACUUCGGGAGAAGGGGGGCCACAGACCGUGAAACCCCAUGCGGGUGGCAGCGGUAGGUGGCCGCAGAGACCAGGGGGAAGCGACUGUUUACUAAAAACACAGGUCCGUGCGAAGUCGUAAGACGAUGUAUACGGACUGACGCCUGCCCGGUGCUGGAACGUUAAGGGGACCGGUUAGUCCGCAAGGGCGAAGCUGAGAACUUAAGCGCCAGUAAACGGCGGUGGUAACUAUAACCAUCCUAAGGUAGCGAAAUUCCUUGUCGGGUAAGUUCCGACCUGCACGAAUGGCGUAACGACUUCCCUACUGUCUCAACCACAGGCCCGGCGAAAUUGCACUACGAGUAAAGAUGCUCGUUACGCGCGGAAGGACGGAAAGACCCCGGGACCUUCACUAUAGCUUGACAUUGGUACUCGAAUUGAAUUGUGUAGGAUAGGAGGAGACUAUGAAGCUCGGACGCCAGUCCGGGUGGAGUCAACGUUGAAAUACCACUCUGUUGAAUUUGGGUAUCUAACUUCGGACCGUGAUCCGGUUCAGGGACAGUGUCUGGUGGGUAGUUUAACUGGGGCGGUUGCCUCCUAAAAUGUAACGGAGGCGCCCAAAGGUUCCCUCAGCCUGGUUGGCAAUCAGGUGUUGAGUGCAAGUGCACAAGGGAGCUUGACUGUGAGACUGACAGGUCGAGCAGGGACGAAAGUCGGGACUAGUGAUCCGGCACCGGCGAGUGGAAGCGGUGUCGCUCAACGGAUAAAAGGUACCCCGGGUAUAACAGGCUGAUCUUCCCCAAGAGUCCAUAUCGACGGGAUGGUUUGGCACCUCGAUGUCGGCUCGUCGCAUCCUGGGGCUGGAGUAGGUCCCAAGGGUUGGGCUGUUCGCCCAUUAAAGCGGCACGCGAGCUGGGUUUAGAACGUCGUGAGACAGUUCGGUCCCUAUCCUCCGCGCGCGCAGGAGACUUGAGAAGAGCUGUCCCUAGUACGAGAGGACCGGGACGGACGAACCUCUGGUGUGCCAGUUGUCAUGCCAAUGGCACGGCUGGUUAGCUACGUUCGGAAGGGAUAACCGCUGAAAGCAUCUAAGCGGGAAGCCUGCUUCAAGAUGAGGUCUCCCACCCCCUCGAGGGUUAAGGCCCCCAGCAAGACCACUGGCUUGAUAGGCCAGAAGUGUAAGCCUGGUAACAGGUUCAGCCGACUGGUACUAAUAGGCCGAGGACUUC
Molecule: ribosomal RNA, 1359 nt
Filed under: metagenome
Description: bacterial LSU rRNA
Rfam family: Bacterial large subunit ribosomal RNA
Source: RNAcentral